RNAcentral lists this non-coding RNA (188 nucleotides) under Bacillus sp. D12. Its description in RNAcentral is "6S RNA". It matches the Rfam family "6S / SsrS RNA". Rfam says of the family: E. coli 6S RNA was the first non coding RNA to be sequenced, but its function was unknown until recently. It consists of 184 nucleotides that fold into an extended hairpin structure with a large single-stranded internal bulge. RNAcentral also lists the same sequence under 6 other names. Lineage: Bacteria; Bacillati; Bacillota; Bacilli; Caryophanales; Bacillaceae. The record is from RNAcentral.
GACGUCCUGAAGUGUACGUUAUGCAUCCUUUUUGUUUUGACCGAACAUUUCUUUUAACGGGAGUCCGGAGUUUACCGCUUGCGCAAAUGCCUUUUUCGUGAAGGACUUGCAACAAAGUGGAACAGGACACCCACCUGCCGAGGGCGGGCCAAAGCACUAGGCAUCAAACGGCACAAUUUGGGGCGUCU